UACGUAGGUGGCAAGCGUUGUCCGGAUUUAUUGGGCGUAAAGGGAGCGCAGGCGGUGACUUAAGUCUGAUGUGAAAGCCCACGGCUCAACCGUGGAGGGUCAUUGGAAACUGGGUCACUUGAGUCACACGCAGAGGAAAGCGGAAUUCCAUGUGUAGCGGUGAAAUGCGUAGAUAUAUGGAGGACACCAGUGGCGAAA
Molecule: ribosomal RNA, 198 nt
Filed under: uncultured Facklamia sp.
Lineage: Bacteria; Bacillati; Bacillota; Bacilli; Lactobacillales; Aerococcaceae
Description: partial 16S ribosomal RNA
Rfam family: Bacterial small subunit ribosomal RNA
Source: RNAcentral